UAUAAUUUACUUGAUCUUGACACAAUCCUACUUGGAUAACUGUGGUAAUUCUAGAGCUAAUACAUGCAUUAAAGCUCUGACCUCACGGGAAGAGUGCAUUUAUUAGAACAAAACCAAGCGGCUUCGGCUGUUUCUGGUUGACUCAUAGUAACUGAGCUGAUCGCAUGGUCUUGCACCGGCGACGUGUCUUUCAAGUAUCUGCCGUAUCAACUUUCGAUGGUAGUGUAUCUGACUACCAUGGUGAUCACGCGUAACGGAGAAUAAGGGUUCGGCUCCGGAGAGUUCGCCUGAGAAAUCGCGAACACAUCUAAGGAAGGCAGCAGGCGCGAAAAUUACCCACUCUCAGCACGAGGAGGUAGUGACGAAAAAUAACGAGACCGUUCUCUUAUGAGGCCGGUCAUCGGAAUGGGUACAAUUUAAACCCUUUAACGAGUAUCUAUGAGAGGGCAAGUCUGGUGCCAGCAGCCGCGGUAAUUCCAGCUCUCAAAGUGCAUAGAAUUAUUGCUGCGGUUAAAAAGCUCGUAGUUGGAUCUGUGCCAUAGGACGUGGUCCACCUUCGGGUGCGUACUACGCUCCUAGGCUUUUUGCUGGUUUUCCCGUCGUAGCCUUCACUGGUUGCGGCGGGUGGCUGGCGAGUUUACUUUGAGAAAAUCAGAGUGCUCAAUACAGGCGUAUCGCUUGAAUGAUUGUGCAUGGAAUAAUAGAAAAGGAUUUCGGUCCUCUUUUAUUGGUUUUGUGGACUGAGAUAAUGGUUAACAGGGACAAACGGGGGCAUUCGUAUCUCUGCGUGAGAGGUGAAAUUCUUGGACCGUAGAGAGACGCCCUACUGCGAAAGCAUUUGCCAAGAAUGUCUUCA
This 856-nucleotide ribosomal RNA is filed under the name Acrobeloides sp. 7 GVDU-2019. RNAcentral's name for it is "SSU rRNA". It matches the Rfam family "Eukaryotic small subunit ribosomal RNA", at positions 111 to 972 of the family's 1831-position model. Lineage: Eukaryota; Metazoa; Nematoda; Chromadorea; Rhabditida; Cephalobidae. The record is from RNAcentral.